Molecule: ribosomal RNA, 696 nt
Filed under: uncultured bacterium
Lineage: Bacteria
Description: bacterial SSU rRNA
Rfam family: Bacterial small subunit ribosomal RNA
Source: RNAcentral
UAACGCGUGAGGAACCUGCCUCAAAGAGGGGGACAACAGUUGGAAACGACUGCUAAUACCGCAUAAGCCCACGGCUCGGCAUCGAGCAGAGGGAAAAGGAGCAAUCCGCUUUGAGAUGGCCUCGCGUCCGAUUAGCUAGUUGGUGAGGUAACGGCCCACCAAGGCGACGAUCGGUAGCCGGACUGAGAGGUUGAACGGCCACAUUGGGACUGAGACACGGCCCAGACUCCUACGGGAGGCAGCAGUGGGGAAUAUUGCACAAUGGGGGAAACCCUGAUGCAGCGACGCCGCGUGGAGGAAGAAGGUCUUCGGAUUGUAAACUCCUGUUGUUGAGGAAGAUGAUGACGGUACUCAACAAGGAAGUGACGGCUAACUACGUGCCAGCAGCCGCGGUAAAACGUAGGUCACAAGCGUUGUCCGGAAUUACUGGGUGUAAAGGGAGCGCAGGCGGGAGAACAAGUUGGAAGUGAAAUCCAUGGGCUCAACCCAUGAACUGCUUUCAAAACUGUUUUUCUUGAGUAGUGCAGAGGUAGGCGGAAUUCCCGGUGUAGCGGUGGAAUGCGUAGAUAUCGGGAGGAACACCAGUGGCGAAGGCGGCCUACUGGGCACCAACUGACGCUGAGGCUCGAAAGUGUGGGUAGCAAACAGGAUUAGAUACCCUGGUAGUCCACACCGUAAACGAUGAUUACUAGGUGU